RNAcentral lists this ribosomal RNA (258 nucleotides) under uncultured bacterium. RNAcentral describes it as "partial 16S ribosomal RNA". It matches the Rfam family "Bacterial small subunit ribosomal RNA", at positions 524 to 776 of the family's 1533-position model. The record is from RNAcentral.
UACGUAGGGUGCAAGCGUUUGUCCGGAAUCAUUGGGCGUAAAGCGCGUGUAGGCGGUCAUAUAAGUCUGUUGUGAAAGUCGGAGGCUCAACCUUCGAAAGCCGAUGGAUACUGUAUGACUUGAGUACGGAAGAGGAGAGUGGAAUUCCUGGUGUAGCGGUGAAAUGCGCAGAUAUCAGGAGGAACACCAACGGCGAAGGCAGCUCUCUGGGACGUAAACUGACGCUGAGACGCGAAAAGCGUGGGGGAGCAAAACAGG